UCCACCACAUUCGCGUCUAGAUACUUCCCUAGCCUCGAGCUAGUGGUAUGUUGCUUAAAACACAUUCUUGAGCUAUUUUGAAGUGGUUAAUGUGAUGUGUCACGACGCUAGAUAAGCAACUCCGGUGAAGUUUACGACGCAGGAACGCAAAGUUGUGAGUUCAUGCUCCCCCUUUUCUUUAACUGUUUUUGGUUUUAUAACUCUCGGGGGUGAAAUACAUGUUACAAAUAUUAUAAUUUUUUUACAAGUAGUAAAAAUACAAGAAGCACUCUUGGUGAGAACGAGUACCGAGUGCAAUACGAAUCGAGAAUACAAAAAUACGAGAAGCACACUUGGUGAGAACGAGAACCAAGUAUGAUGUGCUUUAAGAAAUGCCUAGAAAUUACUAGAUCAUGUGAGCAUAGACUUAAUACUAAAAAUGCCAUAAAGUCUUGGUGAAAACUAGUACCAAGCCAUUAAAAACAUUCAGUAAUUAGGGACGAGGGUUAGAUCUAACGGGUACGGCCGAGCCCCACUCAUGGUCCUUAUGUGACCUCUUGAGUGCUUCGGUGUCCCAGUCGAGGUAAAUCGACACAGUCGAGGUAAAUCGACACAGUCGAGGGUAAUCGACACAGUCAAGGGAAAUUGACACAGUCGAGGUUAAUCGACACAGUCGAGGGUAAUCGACAUAGUUAAAGGAGCCAACACUAAUGCUCCAUAAGUCCUCACAUGCCUUAAAGGAGCCAACACUAAUGCUCCAUAAGUCCUCACAUGCCUUAAAGGAGCCAACACUAAUGCUCCAUAUGUCCUCACAUGCCGAAAUGUCUUUGUACAAACAUUCAAUUAGUACGUGGUGUACACAAGAAAACUUGAUUUUUGCAAGAAUACUUUAUUUAUACAAGAUACAUACCAUGUUUUCAUACUCGGUAUGCAAAACGCAUGAACUCGCUCAACUUUAUGUUGAUGUUUUCCAAAAUUACAUGUAUUUCAGGUGACAGGAUGGAUCUUGGGCGCAAGUGUUGUAACUAGAAGUAGA
RNAcentral lists this long non-coding RNA (1015 nucleotides) under Helianthus annuus (common sunflower). Lineage: Eukaryota; Viridiplantae; Streptophyta; Magnoliopsida; Asterales; Asteraceae. The record is from RNAcentral.